CAGUAGCCGCGGUAAUACGAAGGGGGCUAGCGUUGCUCGGAAUGACUGGGCGUAAAGGGCGCGUAGGCGGCGGCCAAAGUCAGGCGUGAAAUUCCCGGGCUCAACCUGGGGGCUGCGUUUGAUACUUGGUUGCUUGAGUGGGGAAGAGGGUCGUGGAAUUCCCAGUGUAGAGGUGAAAUUCGUAGAUAUUGGGAAGAACACCGGUGGCGAAGGCGGCGACCUGGUCCUUUACUGACGCUGAGGCGCGAAAGCGUGGGGAGCAAGCAGGAUUAGAUACCCGAGUAGUCCCUGUCUCUUAUAC
RNAcentral lists this ribosomal RNA (301 nucleotides) under uncultured bacterium. Its description in RNAcentral is "partial 16S ribosomal RNA". It matches the Rfam family "Bacterial small subunit ribosomal RNA", at positions 509 to 807 of the family's 1533-position model. The record is from RNAcentral.